CUCAUGCCCUGUCCCUGCUGUGGCUGCACGUUGUUUGCACUAGGGUCAAGGGUUUCCCUCCUGCUCUCCUGCCAUCCCAUUUAAUAUCUAGGCCUCAAGGUGGUCCUCCUGCCCCAUUGACUACUGCUGCUUUGCCCACUUGCCUUUUAGACUUAUUUUCUUUUUUUUCCCUUUCAUUUAUGGUUUUCUUUUGCCUUAGUUUAUCAGUUUGCCCUUUGUUAUGCCCAGGUGUUUAUUUGCCCAUUUAGUUAACAGCUGGGAUACCUGGUUAUCUGUCUUGAGUUGUGUUUUGUGAGUUUUCUUUAUUUCAGGAGUGGAGUGCCAUAUUGCUGAGGGGCUAGGCACUUGUGGUGAGGUCCCUGCACUUUUUGCGUGUGAGUAGUUGCACUGGGACACCAUAGACUGCACCAUUGUCUUGUGUGAGGUUUGCUGUGUUCACUGGUGAAUAGCGGUAGCACCCCUAGGCACCCCUCCGUGUAGUCUGCCUCUCACAAGCGGCCUCUACUCCUUUUUCUAUUUAGUUUCACUUAAGUUGGGCUGUGUUUUAGCUUUUGUAAUUGC
This is a long non-coding RNA of Myripristis murdjan (pinecone soldierfish), 561 nucleotides long. RefSeq lists it as uncharacterized. The record is from RefSeq and is a predicted model, not a curated record. NCBI's taxonomy places the organism in Eukaryota, Metazoa, Chordata, Actinopteri, Holocentriformes, Holocentridae. The transcript is spliced from 3 exons.